UUCAGGAAGCUUUUGUAGGCUUCGCUGUGGGGUGUUGGGCGUAUGAGGCGCAUGGAGAGCACAAUCAAGGUCCAAUGGCGAGUCUUAGUUGGGAUUGAAGGGUGUGUGCAGCGACGGUUAAGGAUUUUAACCUCUCUUGAUUCGGUUUAUGUGUUGGUGAUGUUCGUGUGCGUCAGGUCUAUCUCGAUGAUCUUCUCUCCUGGUGUUAUUUAUGAAUGUGUGCUCGUUAGGUAUGCCCGUCCUUGAGUGCA
RNAcentral lists this long non-coding RNA (251 nucleotides) under Brassica napus (rape). RNAcentral describes it as "long non-coding RNA (BNAP_LNC004739)". The record is from RNAcentral. Lineage: Eukaryota; Viridiplantae; Streptophyta; Magnoliopsida; Brassicales; Brassicaceae.